This 2321-nucleotide ribosomal RNA is filed under the name Campylobacter coli. Its description in RNAcentral is "partial 23S ribosomal RNA". It matches the Rfam family "Bacterial large subunit ribosomal RNA", at positions 614 to 2925 of the family's 2925-position model. The record is from RNAcentral. Lineage: Bacteria; Pseudomonadati; Campylobacterota; Epsilonproteobacteria; Campylobacterales; Campylobacteraceae.
AAUGAGCCUGCGAGUUGUGGUGUCUGGCAAGGUUAAGCAAACGCGAAGCCGUAGCGAAAGCGAGUCUGAAUAGGGCGCUUAGUCAGAUGCUGCAGACCCGAAACGAAGUGAUCUAUCCAUGAGCAAGUUGAAGCUAGUGUAAGAACUAGUGGAGGACUGAACCCAUAGGCGUUGAAAAGCCCCGGGAUGACUUGUGGAUAGGGGUGAAAGGCCAAUCAAACUUCGUGAUAGCUGGUUCUCUCCGAAAUAUAUUUAGGUAUAGCGUUGUGUCGUAAUAUAAGGGGGUAGAGCACUGAAUGGGCUAGGGCAUACACCAAUGUACCAAACCCUAUCAAACUCCGAAUACCUUAUAUGUAAUCACAGCAGUCAGGCGGCGAGUGAUAAAAUCCGUCGUCAAGAGGGAAACAACCCAGACUACCAGCUAAGGUCCCUAAAUCUUACUUAAGUGGAAAACGAUGUGAAGUUACUUAAACAACCAGGAGGUUGGCUUAGAAGCAGCCAUCCUUUAAAGAAAGCGUAAUAGCUCACUGGUCUAGUGAUUUUGCGCGGAAAAUAUAACGGGGCUAAAGUAAGUACCGAAGCUGUAGACUUGAUUUUAUCAAGUGGUAGGAGAGCGUUCUAUUUGCGCCGAAGGUAUACCGGUAAGGAGUGCUGGAGCGAAUAGAAGUGAGCAUGCAGGCAUGAGUAGCGAUAAUUAAUGUGAGAAUCAUUAACGCCGUAAACCCAAGGUUUCCUACGCGAUGCUCGUCAUCGUAGGGUUAGUCGGGUCCUAAGUCGAGUCCGAAAGGGGUAGACGAUGGCAAAUUGGUUAAUAUUCCAAUACCAACAUUAGUGUGCGAUGGAAGGACGCUUAGGGCUAAGGGGGCUAGCGGAUGGAAGUGCUAGUCUAAGGUCGUAGGAGGUUAUACAGGCAAAUCCGUAUAACAAUACUCCGAGAACUGAAAGGCUUUUUGAAGUCUUCGGAUGGAUAGAAGAACCCCUGAUGCCGUCGAGCCAAGAAAAGUUUCUAAGUUUAGCUAAUGUUGCCCGUACCGUAAACCGACACAGGUGGGUGGGAUGAGUAUUCUAAGGCGCGUGGAAGAACUCUCUUUAAGGAACUCUGCAAAAUAGCACCGUAUCUUCGGUAUAAGGUGUGGUUCGCUUCGUAUUAGGAUUUACUCCGAAAGCGAAGAAACUUACAACAAAGAGUCCCUCCCGACUGUUUACCAAAAACACAGCACUCUGCUAACUCGUAAGAGGAUGUAUAGGGUGUGACGCCUGCCCGGUGCUCGAAGGUUAAUUGAUGGGGUUAGCAUUAGCGAAGCUCUUGAUCGAAGCCCGAGUAAACGGCGGCCGUAACUAUAACGGUCCUAAGGUAGCGAAAUUCCUUGUCGGUUAAAUACCGACCUGCAUGAAUGGCGUAACGAGAUGGGAGCUGUCUCAAAGAGGGAUCCAGUGAAAUUGUAGUGGAGGUGAAAAUUCCUCCUACCCGCGGCAAGACGGAAAGACCCCGUGGACCUUUACUACAGCUUGACACUGCUAUUUGGAUAAGAAUGUGCAGGAUAGGUGGGAGGCUUUGAGUAUAUGACGCCAGUUGUAUAUGAGCCAUUGUUGAGAUACCACUCUUUCUUAUUUGGGUAGCUAACCAGCUUGAGUUAUCCUCAAGUGGGACAAUGUCUGGUGGGUAGUUUGACUGGGGCGGUCGCCUCCCAAAUAAUAACGGAGGCUUACAAAGGUUGGCUCAGAACGGUUGGAAAUCGUUCGUAGAGUAUAAAGGUAUAAGCCAGCUUAACUGCAAGACAUACAAGUCAAGCAGAGACGAAAGUCGGUCUUAGUGAUCCGGUGGUUCUGUGUGGAAGGGCCAUCGCUCAAAGGAUAAAAGGUACCCCGGGGAUAACAGGCUGAUCUCCCCCAAGAGCUCACAUCGACGGGGAGGUUUGGCACCUCGAUGUCGGCUCAUCGCAUCCUGGGGCUGGAGCAGGUCCCAAGGGUAUGGCUGUUCGCCAUUUAAAGCGGUACGCGAGCUGGGUUCAGAACGUCGUGAGACAGUUCGGUCCCUAUCUGCCGUGGGCGUAAGAAGAUUGAAGAGAUUUGACCCUAGUACGAGAGGACCGGGUUGAACAAACCACUGGUGUAGCUGUUGUUCUGCCAAGAGCAUCGCAGCGUAGCUAAGUUUGGAAAGGAUAAACGCUGAAAGCAUCUAAGCGUGAAGCCAACUCUAAGAUGAAUCUUCUCUAAGCUCUCUAGAAGACUACUAGUUUGAUAGGCUGGGUGUGUAAUGGAUGAAAGUCCUUUAGCUGACCAGUACUAAUAGAGCGUUUGGCUUAUCUUUAAUAAAGCAU